Molecule: transfer RNA, 72 nt
Filed under: Sus scrofa (pig)
Lineage: Eukaryota; Metazoa; Chordata; Mammalia; Artiodactyla; Suidae
Rfam family: tRNA
About the family: Transfer RNA (tRNA) molecules are approximately 80 nucleotides in length.
Source: Rfam by way of RNAcentral
UCCCUGGUGGCCUAGUGGUUAGGAUUCAGCACUUUCACUGCUGUGGCCUAGGUUCAAUCCCUGAUCUGAGAA